Molecule: ribosomal RNA, 371 nt
Filed under: uncultured bacterium
Lineage: Bacteria
Description: bacterial SSU rRNA
Rfam family: Bacterial small subunit ribosomal RNA
Source: RNAcentral
AUACGUAGGGGGCAAGCGUUACUCGGAUUUACUGGGCGUAAAGCGAAUUAAGGCGGUCUUGUAAGUCAGAGGUGAAAUCCCUCAGCCUAACUGAGGAAUAGCCUUUGAUACUGCUUGACUAGAGGACAGGAGAGGAAAGUGGAAUUCCCGGUGUAGCGGUGGAAUGCGUAGAUAUCGGGAGGAACACCAGAGGCGAAGGCGGCUUUCUGGACUGGUCCUGACGCUGAUAUUCGAAAGCUAGGGGAGCAAACAGGAUUAGAUACCCUGGUAGUCCUAGCUGUAAACGAUGGAUACUAGAUCUUGCAUGGAUUUGCUUGGUCGUAGUUAACGCGUUAAGUAUCCCGCCUGGGGAGUACGGUCGCAAGGCUGAA